This 57-nucleotide transfer RNA is filed under the name Dilophotes sp. AA LB-2014. Its description in RNAcentral is "tRNA-Leu". The record is from RNAcentral. Lineage: Eukaryota; Metazoa; Arthropoda; Insecta; Coleoptera; Lycidae.
UGUGGCAGAACAGUGCAAUAAAUUUAAGAUUUAUAUACAAAUUAAUAUUUCCUUAGA